RNA transcript from Felis catus (domestic cat), 2982 nucleotides. RefSeq lists it as uncharacterized. The record is from RefSeq and is a predicted model, not a curated record. Lineage: Eukaryota; Metazoa; Chordata; Mammalia; Carnivora; Felidae. The transcript has 2 exons.
CAUGUCGGGGGUUUCGGGGUGGGAGGACUUCGGGGCUGGAGAGUCGGCUCCGGAAGCCAGGUUCCCACGGGAGCUUCCAUGCGUCCCUCACUCAGGACCCAGGUCCCUACGCGGUGGCUGCGACAGGCCCUGUCUCCUGCGCUGUAGCCGCUGCAGUGUCCCGCCCGGGGUCAGGCUGAGCUGCCUCCCUCGUGGCCCAGAGCCACCCUGCGCCCACGUCAGGAGUCUGCACGGGGUCCGUGCGCUGGGGGCAGAGGGAGACAGCUCCCCAAGGCCCCCAAAGCCAGGCCUCCUGGAGACGCGGGCGGGGGGACGUCUCUGGGGCAGGAGGAGGGGAAGGGUGAGGCUCGAGGCUGGCGGCCCUGUGACGUGGGGCAAUGAGGCCACCAGUCGGGGCUCUGGGUUUACCCGCCUGCACCCCCGGGGACAGUCCUCAGGUGGCAGCGCUGAGUUGUUGACAGACAGUCUCCUAUUUACGUGGCCGAUUCCGUGGGUAACUCCGGAAGCAGUGUGGACGUUGGGAGUGCUCCCUAGGGUGGGUGUUCACCCCCCACCCCCACCUCGAGGGUCUUGCUCCUCCCGGGGGCCCCUCCUUCCUGCUUCAGGGCUGUGCACUGGCUUCUCCAGUCUGGAUCCAGAACACCUGAAGGCCCGGUCAUCUGGUCAGCUCGGAUCAGGCCUGAGGGUCCCACGCCUGGGGACAUUCACAGCCCGGGCUGGGAGACACGAGCGGCUCAUCUGUGACACGUGUCUACCGUGUGCCACGUGGCCAGCUCGGCUCGAGCGGUGGCAUCUGUCCGUUGGGAUGUGGGCUCACACGCAGACCAACCCUAGAGCUUACUGCCAACAGCACCUGUGCACCCACCGGGGACGGGCAGGGACCACGGCUCCUGGAGCCGGAGUCCACGGACCGUCCGAAGACACAGCGGGGGGCUGGCCUCACCCCAGAGCGGCGUGUGUGCAUCCGUGGGUUUUCAGAGGCUGAGGGACCACCCAGCUUCAGUCUCCACCCUGGCGGGCAUGUGUCCUUGACCCACCCCGAGGCCCCUGUGGGCUGAGGGGUGCCCGUGUGUCCCCACGAGCCCUCGGGUGCCCUGGAAGGGCACAGCUUGGAGCCUGUGACUCUGUCACGUCCAGGGACUCGGGCCAGCAGAUCAACUCCCUGUCAUCCUGGGCAGGCUCUGCCCAGCUCCCCUCUCCGCCCCCCAGCAGCCCCCACAGCCCUGCGCCUGCGUCUGCACGGAGGGCCUGGCCGCCCGGGCCUGGGAUCCGUGGCCCCGCGGGGCCCGUCACAGGUCAGAGCCACCGGCACAGGCGGGGCCUCACUCUCGUGCCCUCCGUCCCUGUGUGGAUGGAGUCCAGCUGUGUGCGGGGCGCACGUGGGAGUGAGCGUGAGCGUGAGCUUACGUGCCGGGUCAGGCGCUUCUGUCGAUCCUGCAGGGAGCGUAACGAAGACGCACACUCACGUGGCUCUUGCUCACCAGGCGCUGUGCCAGCAGAGGGACAGAAGAUGGACACGCGGAUGGACAGACGGGCAGACCUGCUCCAGUGUUCACGGAGGCAUCGCGCACGGAGCAGACGGACAAGCGUGUGCAGUGGAGAAGAGCUUCUGAACCGUCACCCCCCACGGACAUCGUCUCUGGUCCAGCCUGAGAACAGGCUCUGAAGAGCUCAUACUUACCAUCUCAGAAAAGAAAACGGAACUUACUUGUCCUAAACUCGUGGGUCUGGAAAAUCCUGGAGGUGGUGAGGCGAUGCCCACAUCGUCCCAGGGUCUCGAGCGGGGACUGGAGCCCGCCAGGGUCCCCGGGUCCCGGGUGGUGGUGCCUGAAUCUGAUGGGCUCCGAUGGGUGCCCUGCCCACGCCAGGAGCCGUCCUCGGUGGUGAAUGAGCCCCUGCGGUGCUCACACCUGACUCACACGGGCCUGAGUGGACUUGGGGGGCCAAGCCCGCCCUGAGCUGAGAGCAGGGCCAGAGAACGACCCCUGGACGGGGUCCGUGCGCUGGGCCAGCGGAGGGGCAGACGUCCACGUGGCCCCCCACCACGAGCCCAGCCCACAUCGGUGCCAGGUCAUCCUCCCGGGGCCUGGUUUCUCCUCUGCCCCUCCCAGGGACCCCUAGGACAUGACUCCUCCAGGGACAGUCCUGCCUCCCGCAUCCCUUGGGCCCUGUCCCGUACUUUACAUUGGAAACAGAUGCCCCAGCAGAGUGACGGGACACGGUGGCCAGUGAGGACCUGAGCCAGGGUCUGUGGUGGGGAAUUCGUGUGUCGAGCCAGCUGGGCUGUGGUGCCCAGAUCCAGGGUCAAUGUUUCCGUGAGGGGGUUUCUGGAUGAGGCUGGCUGUGAAGUAUCAGUAAAGCGGGUUGCCCCCCCGAUGUGGGUGGGCCUCGUCCAAUCAGGGGACGGCCUGAGUGUCUCAGGGGUGGCCAGGAUGCAGAGAGGUGGGGAAAGCCCCCCAACACGACCCUCUCUAGUCGGCUUCUCCAGGGUGUGGCACCCCUCUGUCACCCACCAAAACCCCAAGUUCUCCUCCAUUUCUCCUGAGGCCUCUCCCCGCAGGGACGAGCUCCUCUGUGAAUGCGGGGUCCCGGGGAGGCUCCUGGAUGCCACGCGUCCCGGUGCCGGCCCCAGGGGCCCCACUCAGACGCACAGGGUGAAGGUCCCUGUGUCUCUGGGUCUGAGGACGGCUGUGACUCCGUGUCUGGCUGUGCGGGCACAGAGCGUCUCUGAGGCUUGUGGUAUUUUCACAAAAACUCCUCCCCAAAAUUUAUGAGCCUGAGAGCAACACAUUCAUUUCUGUGACACAGGAUGAAAUAAGGGGACAUUUUUCACGUUUCUGUUUUAAUUCGUUGGGCACCACGUGCGUGACUCCAGCCCGUCUGAAGGUUUUAAUUCAUGAAUUUGUUUUCAAAUAGCGUGUGAUUGGUAGGAGAGUGGGGGAGGGUGCCCCUCCCGAGAAAACCGUGGGGACUAUUCCCACU